This 460-nucleotide ribosomal RNA is filed under the name uncultured bacterium. Its description in RNAcentral is "partial 16S ribosomal RNA". It matches the Rfam family "Bacterial small subunit ribosomal RNA", at positions 338 to 795 of the family's 1533-position model. The record is from RNAcentral.
CCUACGGGGGGCAGCAGUGAGGAAUAUUGGUCAAUGGCCGAAAGCCUGAACCAGCCAAGUCGCGUGAAGGAAGAAGGAUCUAUGGUUUGUAAACUUCUUUUAUAGGGGAAUAAAGGUAUCCACGUGUGGAUAUUUGCAUGUACCCUAUGAAUAAGCAUCGGCUAACUCCGUGCCAGCCGCCGCGGGAAUACGGAGGAUGCGAGCGUUAUCCGGAUUUAUUGGGUUUAAAGGGUGCGUAGGUGGUUUUUUAAGUCAGCGGUGAAAGUUUGUGGCUCAACCAUAAAAUUGCCGUUGAAACUGGAAGACUUGAGUGUGUUUGAGGUAGGCGGAAUGCGUGGUGUAGCGGUGAAAUGCAUAGAUAUCACGCAGAACUCCGAUUGCGAAGGCAGCUUACUAGGCCAUAACUGACACUGAAGCACGAAAGCGUGGGGAUCAAACAGGAUUAGAUACCCCUGUAGUC